ACAUCAGCUCCUGGAAACAAAUGCACUUAACCAGAAAAACAGGGACAUCAACCAGCAAAGAUGCAUCCUCAUUUAAUAGAGCUUGAAAUUACUAUAAUCUGUAAAGUACAGCGAGAAGAAGAAGUUUCACCUGCCUGCACAUCUGUCGUUGACUCUCCAUCUGACUUGGAGGGACUCUGAGGGACCAACCUGAGCCUGAGAAGAGGCAAGAUUCCCCUUCAAGGACACACUGGGAACUUACGGACCUCUUUCUCCAUGGUGCAGAGCGCAGAGGCUACCUGAGAAUAUCCAGAGACUACAGAGGUCAUCAAGUUGACGCAUCAAUGUUUACAUGUGAACAAACAGACGCAUAAUAGCUCUUGAGCUUGCCAUUGGGAAGUGAAAAUCAACUGCUUGAAUAAAUGUAAGGACUCAGAACACCAGACAUGGGUGCUCCAAUCCACGUAGUGUUGAGGCAGUGAAGUUUGUGUUCCAGGAACUUCAGAACUCCUGAAUGUAUUGGUGUUGAUAAAAGGUGAUGAGAUGAAGUAGAAUGACCAUAAACUUAGAGGUAGACAUCACCUUGUGACUCAACAGCAGCCAAUAAGAUGGAAAUAAAGGCCAUGAAGUUAUCGGAUGGCAUCUACAAGGAAUACUUAGAUGAGGAGGUGACUCUGGUAGCAAUUGUUCUUUUGUCUUUCUCACCUUCCUUCUUGUCCUGUCUGGGAUGCUGAAGUGAUGGCUGGUAUACAGAUGCCCUGUUGUGAUGUUGAGAUAAACAUGAGAAUAAAAGUCGGCGAUUACAGAUGGCAGAGAAGAGAGAGAAAGAUAGGAUGUAGGUGGAUAUUGACGGAACUAAGUUUCUAUUGCACAAGUUCUACCACCAACCUCUGGACUUCAUGAUAUGUGAGGGAGAAAUAAACUCCUAUUUUAGAAGAGAUCUAUGUUACCUGCAACUGAACGGAAUGCUUAAUUGGCACAUCCUAUGUGCUCCAAACCUUCCUUAAUUUCUGUGUGUAAGGCAUACUUAGUCUUUACCCAUUAUUCUGUUCACAUUCAUUCACUUGAUCAGCCUCCCAACUCUAUGGUAAAGAGUUUACUACAGUUUACUCUAUUAGUAAGGGAGAUUCUGGAGCAAGCCCCACAAAUCAUAGAUUGAAUACCCAUUCAUUAAGAGAGAGAUUUAAAGAUACUUCUAUCCAAACACAUUUUAAAUUUCCAGCACCUUUGAGGUGGUGGAGGUUCAUGGUGGUUGAUAGGGUUUAAAUGACUUGUGAUUCAAGCUCCAUAUUACAAUGUAACAGUGCAAAAGUUCAUUUUUUUAAAUUUAUUUUACUUUAAGUUCUGGUAUACAUGUGUAGAACAUGCGGGUUUGUUACAUAGGUAUACAUGUGCCAUGGUGGUUUGCUGCACCUAUCAAACCGUCACCUAGGUUUUAAGAACCACAUGCAUUAGGUAUUUGACCUAAUGCUCUCCCUCAUGUUGCCCCCCAACUCCCUGACAGGGCCCAGUGUGUGAUGUUCCCCUCCCUGUGUCCAUGUGUUCUCAUUGUUCAACUCCCACUUAUGAGUGAGAACAUGUGGUGUUUGAUUUUCUGUUCCUGUGUUAGUUUGCUGAGAAUGAUGGCUUCCAGCUUCAUCCAUGUCCCUGCAAAGGACACGAACUCAUUCUUUUUUAUGGCUUCAUAAUAUUCCAUGAGUCUGGAUUUGGUUACAGAUAGAGCUGGACAAGCCUUAGCUAUAUCUAAUGGCUUUUGACAUGUUAUAUCAAUUUCUUACUGCUUUUGUAAAUGAAUAUAUUAAGAAGAAAAAAUUACAAAUGACCCUUUCUUCACAAACUUUUAGGGUAAUCAAGUUCAGUUAUUAAAAAAUGGAUGUUUGCAACAUUCAUAGUAAUUAUUUUCAGAAAAUUAAAAAUGAUUAAAAAUUAUAUUUUCAUCCCAUUCAGAUAUUAUAUAUUUAACUGUGAGAUAAUUCUCAGAGAUAAAUGUCAACUUUUAAAAAAUGCUAAAUAAAUUAAAUCAAAAUAUCCCCUCUAAAAUAAAUAAAUUAGCUCCGAUUAUUUCUUCUUUUUAAAUUUUUCCUUAUAGUUGUAAAAAUAAAGUGAACGUUUUGGCUCAUUUCCUCAUUAAAGUUUGAAUUUUCCAGUCA
This is a long non-coding RNA of Homo sapiens (human), 2129 nucleotides long. RefSeq annotates it as long independently transcribed non-coding RNA 507. NCBI's taxonomy places the organism in Eukaryota, Metazoa, Chordata, Mammalia, Primates, Hominidae. The record is from RefSeq and is marked validated. The transcript has 5 exons.